AGAGCUAAUACAUGAACAAGUGUUCCAACCUCAGCUUGCUGACGGAAGGAUCGCAUUUAUUAGUACAAGACCAAUGAUUCUUAUUCACCUAGAACCCUGUUCAGUGAUUUCGGUCGCUGUCUAAGGACUAGCAGUGGGGAUCUUAGCAACUUCGGUUGCAUUUCUUGUGAUGACUCUGAAUAACUGAGCAAAUCGUAUGGCCUCUGAGCCGACGAUGUAUCCCUCAAGCAACUGCCUUAUCAACUGUCGAUGGUAGGUUAUGCGCCUACCAUGGUUGUAACGGGUAACGGGGAAUUAGGGUUCGAUUCCGGAGAGGGAGCCUGAGAAACGGCUACCACAUCUAAGGAAGGCAGCAGGCGCGCAAAUUACACAAUCCCAGUACGGGGAUGUAGUGACGAAAAAUAACAAUACGGGACUCUAUUGAGGCCCCGUAAUUGGAAUGAGUACAAUUUAAAUCCUUUAACGAGGAUCUAUUGGAGGGCAAGUCUGGUGCCAGCAGCCGCGGUAAUUCCAGCUCCAAUAGCGUAUAUUAAAGUUGCUGCGGUUAAAAAGCUCGUAGUUGGAUUUCAGUCGAACCUAUGGGGUCCACUGAUUAAAGGGUUAGAUGGUGAUGUUAGGUUUCUUGCUUGUGUCUACGGAUGCUUGCUUGAACCUUCAUUCCUCUUUCCUGGUGGUUACAUUCAUAGUGUUUAGACAGAAAAUUGCUCGAUAUUUGCUAUCAAUGCUCUUUACCGAGUGUUGAUUCAAGCGAUCGAGACUUUUACCUUGAAAAAAUCAGAGUGCUCAAAGCAGGCGUCCAAAACCUCGAAAGAGGUGCCUAAAAACGGUAUGGUCAACCAUCUAUAUGAUGCGUACCACUACCUUAACUUGAAUGAUCUUGCAUGGAAUAAUGGAAUAGGACCUUGGUUCUAUUUUGUUGGUCUUAAGAAUCCAAGGUAAUGAUUAAGAGGGACAGACGGGGGCAUUUGUAUUGCGGCGCUAGAGGUGAAAUUCUUGGACCGUCGCAAGACAAACUACAGCGAAAGCAUUUGCCAAGAAUGUUUUCAUUAAUCAAGAACGAAAGUUAGAGGUUCGAAGGCGAUCAGAUACCGCCCUAGUUCUAACCAUAAACGAUGCCAACCAGCGAUCAUUCUGAGUAACUAAUUUCAUGACUCGAAUGGAAGCUUCCGGGAAACCAAAGUUUUUGGGUUCCGGGGGAAGUAUGGUUGCAAAGCUGAAACUUAAAGGAAUUGACGGAAGGGCACCACCAGGAGUGGAGCUUGCGGCUUAAUUUGACUCAACACGGGAAAACUCACCCGGCCCGGACACUGAGAGGAUUGACAGAUUGAGAGCUCUUUCUUGAUUCAGUGGGUGGUGGUGCAUGGCCGUUCUUAGUUGGUGGAGUGAUUUGUCUGGUUAAUUCCGAUAACGAACGAGACUCUAGCCUACUAAAUAGACUUGCAGUUUACACUGCAGUACUCCCCCUUAGUCAACCUGUGGGUGGUAGUAUCUCUUGAUGGUUUCGGCUGUUGAGGGCUCUGCUGCUAUUAGCCUACAGAAUUGGCUAGGGUAAGGAUGCUGUAGCACUGUAAGGACUUCUUAGAGGGACAAGCGGCGCUCGCAGCCGCACGAAACAGAGCAAUAACAGGUCUGUGAUGCCCUUAGAUGUCCGGGGCCGCACGCGUGCUACACUGAAGUGGUCAUCGUGCAUACUGUUUCCUGCUCCGAAAGGAGUGGGUAACCGCUUGAACCCAUUUCGUGAUGGGGAUUGGGCAUUGUAAUUAUUGCCCAUG
RNAcentral lists this ribosomal RNA (1772 nucleotides) under Tetranychus urticae (two-spotted spider mite). RNAcentral's name for it is "SSU rRNA". It matches the Rfam family "Eukaryotic small subunit ribosomal RNA", at positions 160 to 1601 of the family's 1831-position model. The record is from RNAcentral. Lineage: Eukaryota; Metazoa; Arthropoda; Arachnida; Trombidiformes; Tetranychidae.